CCCUUAGAUGUCCGGGGCUGCACGCGCGCUACACUGAAGGAAUCAGCGUGCUAAAACCCUUGUCGAAAGGCAUUGGUAAACCCAUUAAAAUCCUACGUGAUUGGGAUCGGGAAUUGCAAUUAUUUCCCUUGAACGAGGAAUUCCCAGUAAGUGUGGGUCAUAAGCUCGCGUUGAUUACGUCCCUGCCCUUUGUACACACCGCCCGUCGCUGCCCGGGACUGAGCCGUUUCGAGAAAAGCGGGGACUGCUGCUGUCGGGGCUUUCGGGCCUUGGCUUCGGUGGAAACCGCUUUAAUCGCAGUGGCUUGAACCGGGCAAAAGUCGUAACA
RNAcentral lists this ribosomal RNA (328 nucleotides) under uncultured eukaryote. Its description in RNAcentral is "partial 18S ribosomal RNA". It matches the Rfam family "Eukaryotic small subunit ribosomal RNA", at positions 1470 to 1796 of the family's 1831-position model. The record is from RNAcentral.